GCCUGCGUGGCUCAGUCGGUUGAGCAUCUGACUUCGGCUCAGGUCACGAUCUCGCGGUUCGUGGGUUCGAGCCCCGCAUCGGGCU
RNAcentral lists this transfer RNA (85 nucleotides) under Felis catus (domestic cat). It matches the Rfam family "tRNA". Rfam says of the family: Transfer RNA (tRNA) molecules are approximately 80 nucleotides in length. Their secondary structure includes four short double-helical elements and three loops (D, anti-codon, and T loops). Further hydrogen bonds mediate the characteristic L-shaped molecular structure. tRNAs have two regions of fundamental functional importance: the anti-codon, which is responsible for specific mRNA codon recognition, and the 3' end, to which the tRNAs corresponding amino acid is attached (by aminoacyl-tRNA synthetases). tRNAs cope with the degeneracy of the genetic code in two manners: having more than one tRNA (with a specific anti-codon) for a particular amino acid; and 'wobble' base-pairing, i.e. permitting non-standard base-pairing at the 3rd anti-codon position. Lineage: Eukaryota; Metazoa; Chordata; Mammalia; Carnivora; Felidae. RNAcentral also lists the same sequence under 2 other names. The record is from Rfam by way of RNAcentral.